Molecule: long non-coding RNA, 843 nt
Filed under: Bos indicus x Bos taurus (hybrid cattle)
Lineage: Eukaryota; Metazoa; Chordata; Mammalia; Artiodactyla; Bovidae
Description: lncRNA (ENSBIXG00000029419.1)
Source: RNAcentral
AUGAGUCCACGCGGGGCUGACGGACUCCCUGCCCGCCCAUGUCCCGCACCCUCCUCCGUCUCAGCGGAAACACAGGGGCCAGGAAGCCCUUCAGAAGUUGUCAGGGGUGACCCGGGGAGAGGAGUCCCGCGCAGAAAGUGCAAACGCCUUCGUGGCGGGUGGCUGCGCCCUUCCCCUGGGGCCCCUGCAGCAGAGAUGCUGUUACCUGUGCUGGCCAUACAGGGCAUGCUGGGGGCUCUGAUUUGUGUGAUCAUUUGCUCAGCGGCCCCCUCUGUGACACAGGCAGUGGAGACUACACCUACCCUUUCAGGAAUGACUCCCUGGAGAGCACCUACAUAGCCAACCAGCCCACCCAGGCCACCUGCCAAGAGGCUGAGCACACCGUCCUCCAGACGGAGUCUUCUUCUCCAUCCUCCUGGGCAUCCGAAUGGGGGAAGCUGUCCUGUGCCUCAGCCAUGUUGUCGGUGGACUCUGACACCUUCUGCAAUACAUGUGUCUGAAAAGGACAGGUCAGUGAGUCUAGAACCUAGGAAUUUUCAAGUCAUAUCCCCUGACCUAUUCCUCACAUCUCCCUCCUUCCCUGACCCCAUACUCCCAGAGGUAAUCCAGUAAUUGGGAAAUGCCUUUUGAAAUACAUAACUUCAUUUGCCACUUGGGGCUGAAUUUUCUUUCAGGAGAACAUAACUGACUUAUGACCAGCCUAAGAAAUUGCAGCUGAUUGGCAGAGUUUCCUGGAUUCAGGAGGACUGGAUUUGGUGAAUAUCAAUCCCCAGCGUACUGAGAAGCUGAAGAAAAGUCCCCAGUUUUAAUAAAAGCCAUCAGUUUCCAUCUUCUUUGCUUGAA